AGUAACCUGAAAUGUUCGAAAAGUUCUUGUAAUUUUGAACCUACAUCACUUUAAACGGGAUUCCUAUAUUGCCGGUCGGAUGUCAGGCCUCAAUAUCAGUGGAAGGCAGAAGAUCCGGUUGCGGUUACCCACCUGGCACAUACGCUAGGAGUCAAAAUACAGGAAUCGGCAUUUCGGGGCAAUG
Molecule: non-coding RNA, 184 nt
Filed under: Lachnospiraceae bacterium
Lineage: Bacteria; Bacillati; Bacillota; Clostridia; Lachnospirales; Lachnospiraceae
Description: 6S RNA
Rfam family: 6S / SsrS RNA
About the family: E. coli 6S RNA was the first non coding RNA to be sequenced, but its function was unknown until recently. It consists of 184 nucleotides that fold into an extended hairpin structure with a large single-stranded internal bulge.
Source: RNAcentral